AUGAAUGCUAGUAGUCUGUUUUACACAUGCAAGUUAAAUAUUUUAUAAUAUAGCGAACGGGUGAGUAAUACAUAAAAAUAUACCUUUUACUUUUGUAAAAAACAAAAUUAAAAAAAUUUUUAAUGGUAAAAGAUUAGUUUAUGGAGGAUUAGGUAGUUGGUGGGGUAAAAGCCUACCAAGCCAAAGAUCCUUAGUUGGUUUUAACGAAUGAUCAACCACAUUGGAACUGAGACACGGUCCAAACUUUAGGAGGCAGCAGUGAAGAAUCUUGGACAAUGGGCGAAAGCCUGAUCCAGCAAGACUACGUGAAUGAUGACAGUUAUAUUGAUUGUAAAAUUCAAAAGUUAAAAAAAUAAAGAUUUUUUAAACUAAAAGUUCCGGCUAAUUCCGU
This 391-nucleotide ribosomal RNA is filed under the name uncultured bacterium. RNAcentral's name for it is "partial 16S ribosomal RNA". It matches the Rfam family "Bacterial small subunit ribosomal RNA", at positions 30 to 506 of the family's 1533-position model. The record is from RNAcentral.